RNAcentral lists this ribosomal RNA (2879 nucleotides) under Klebsiella pneumoniae. Its description in RNAcentral is "bacterial LSU rRNA". It matches the Rfam family "Bacterial large subunit ribosomal RNA". The record is from RNAcentral. Lineage: Bacteria; Pseudomonadati; Pseudomonadota; Gammaproteobacteria; Enterobacterales; Enterobacteriaceae.
UUAAGCGACUAAGCGUACACGGUGGAUGCCCUGGCAGUCAGAGGCGAUGAAGGACGUGCUAAUCUGCGAAAAGCGUCGGUAAGGUGAUAUGAACCGUUAUAACCGGCGAUGUCCGAAUGGGGAAACCCAGUGUGAUUCGUCACACUAUCGUUAACUGAAUACAUAGGUUAACGAGGCGAACCGGGAACUGAAACAUCUAAGUACCCCGAGGAAAGAAAUCAACCGAGAUUCCCCAGUAGCGGCGAGCGAACGGGAGCAGCCAGAGUCUGAAUCAGCUUGUGUGUUAGUGGAACGGUCUGGAAAGUCCGACGGUACAGGGUGAUAGUCCGUACACCAAAAUGCACAGGUUGUGAACUCGAAGAGUAGGGCGGGACACGUGGUAUCCUGUCUGAAUAUGGGGACCAUCCUCCAAGGCUAAAUACUCCUGACUGACCGAUAGUGAACCAGUACCGUGAGGAAAGGCGAAAAGAACCCCGGCGAGGGGAGUGAAAAGAACCUGAAACCGUGUACGUACAAGCAGUGGGAGCACCUUCGGGUGUGACUGCGUACCUUUGUAUAAUGGGUCAGCGACUUAUAUUCUGUAGCAAGGUUAACCGUAUAGGGAGCCGCAGGAAACCGAGUCUUAACUGGGCGUUAAGUUGCAGGGUAUAGACCCGAAACCCGGUGAUCUAGCCAUGGGCAGGUUGAAGGUUGGGUAACACUAACUGGAGGACCGAACCGACUAAUGUUGAAAAAUUAGCGGAUGACUUGUGGCUGGGGGUGAAAGGCCAAUCAAACCGGGAGAUAGCUGGUUCUCCCCGAAAGCUAUUUAGGUAGCGCCUCGUGAACUCAUCUUCGGGGGUAGAGCACUGUUUCGGCUAGGGGGUCAUCCCGACUUACCAACCCGAUGCAAACUACGAAUACCGAAGAAUGUUAUCACGGGAGACACACGGCGGGUGCUAACGUCCGUCGUGAAGAGGGAAACAACCCAGACCGCCAGCUAAGGUCCCAAAGUCAUGGUUAAGUGGGAAACGAUGUGGGAAGGCACAGACAGCCAGGAUGUUGGCUUAGAAGCAGCCAUCAUUUAAAGAAAGCGUAAUAGCUCACUGGUCGAGUCGGCCUGCGCGGAAGAUGUAACGGGGCUAAACCAUGCACCGAAGCUGCGGCAGCGACACUAUGUGUUGUUGGGUAGGGGAGCGUUCUGUAAGCCUGCGAAGGUGACCUGUGAGGGUUGCUGGAGGUAUCAGAAGUGCGAAUGCUGACAUAAGUAACGAUAAAGCGGGUGAAAAGCCCGCUCGCCGGAAGACCAAGGGUUCCUGUCCAACGUUAAUCGGGGCAGGGUGAGUCGACCCCUAAGGCGAGGCCGAAAGGCGUAGUCGAUGGGAAACAGGUUAAUAUUCCUGUACUUGGUGUUACUGCGAAGGGGGGACGGAGAAGGCUAUGUUAGCCGGGCGACGGUUGUCCCGGUUUAAGCAUGUAGGCUGGUUAUCCAGGCAAAUCCGGAUAAUCAAGGCUGAGGUGUGAUGACGAGGCACUACGGUGCUGAAGUAACAAAUGCCCUGCUUCCAGGAAAAGCCUCUAAGCAUCAGGUAACAUCAAAUCGUACCCCAAACCGACACAGGUGGUCAGGUAGAGAAUACCAAGGCGCUUGAGAGAACUCGGGUGAAGGAACUAGGCAAAAUGGUGCCGUAACUUCGGGAGAAGGCACGCUGGUGUAGUGAAGCCUGCGGGUGGAGCUGAGACCAGUCGAAGAUACCAGCUGGCUGCAACUGUUUAUUAAAAACACAGCACUGUGCAAACACGAAAGUGGACGUAUACGGUGUGACGCCUGCCCGGUGCCGGAAGGUUAAUUGAUGGGGUUAUCCGUAAGGAGAAGCUCUUGAUCGAAGCCCCGGUAAACGGCGGCCGUAACUAUAACGGUCCUAAGGUAGCGAAAUUCCUUGUCGGGUAAGUUCCGACCUGCACGAAUGGCGUAAUGAUGGCCAGGCUGUCUCCACCCGAGACUCAGUGAAAUUGAACUCGCUGUGAAGAUGCAGUGUACCCGCGGCAAGACGGAAAGACCCCGUGAACCUUUACUAUAGCUUGACACUGAACAUUGAGCCUUGAUGUGUAGGAUAGGUGGGAGGCUUUGAAGCGUGGACGCCAGUCUGCGUGGAGCCAACCUUGAAAUACCACCCUUUAAUGUUUGAUGUUCUAACGUUGGCCCCUGACCGGGGUUGCGGACAGUGUCUGGUGGGUAGUUUGACUGGGGCGGUCUCCUCCCAAAGCGUAACGGAGGAGCACGAAGGUUAGCUAAUCCUGGUCGGACAUCAGGAGGUUAGUGCAAUGGCAUAAGCUAGCUUGACUGCGAGCGUGACGGCGCGAGCAGGUGCGAAAGCAGGUCAUAGUGAUCCGGUGGUUCUGAAUGGAAGGGCCAUCGCUCAACGGAUAAAAGGUACUCCGGGGAUAACAGGCUGAUACCGCCCAAGAGUUCAUAUCGACGGCGGUGUUUGGCACCUCGAUGUCGGCUCAUCACAUCCUGGGGCUGAAGUAGGUCCCAAGGGUAUGGCUGUUCGCCAUUUAAAGUGGUACGCGAGCUGGGUUUAGAACGUCGUGAGACAGUUCGGUCCCUAUCUGCCGUGGGCGCUGGAGAAUUGAGGGGGGCUGCUCCUAGUACGAGAGGACCGGAGUGGACGCAUCACUGGUGUUCGGGUUGUCAUGCCAAUGGCACUGCCCGGUAGCUAAAUGCGGAAGAGAUAAGUGCUGAAAGCAUCUAAGCACGAAACUUGCCCCGAGAUGAGUUCUCCUGAGACUUUAAGUCUCCUGAAGGAACGUUAAAGACGAUGACGUUGAUAGGCCGGGUGUGUAAGCGCAGCGAUGCGUUGAGCUAACCGGUACUAAUGAACCGUGAGGCUUAACCU